This 3859-nucleotide long non-coding RNA is filed under the name Equus caballus (horse). RNAcentral's name for it is "lncRNA (ENSECAG00000051929.1)". The record is from RNAcentral. Lineage: Eukaryota; Metazoa; Chordata; Mammalia; Perissodactyla; Equidae.
CUGAGUGUGACAGCCAGCCCCAGAAACAAAGCCUAGAAACGCCUGUGUUUAAAAUGAGAAGGCCAAAGCUUCUGGGAAGGAUGAUCUAUUUUAUGAUGCCUCAAAGUUUCAGAAUGACUGUAGCCCCCCUCACCUCCUCUGGGCUGAACACCAUCAUCUAGCCUCUGACACUCGGGUCUGGAGACAGAGGGGGUUGAGGGGGAGGCAAUUGCAGCUGGCAGGAACCUUGCUUUUCAAGAACCUGGACCCCAGGACAACUCUGGUUGAGGCUCCCCAAGUCCCUCAAGGUAUGACUUGGGACAUGAGGGUUUUCUGGAAAGUCAUGCGUGCUUUUCCUGGAUGCAGGGAAGCGAGAAGUGGGACAGCCCAUUCGCGAGCAUCUCAACAGUCCAUUCCAUGGUCUCAGUUUCUUGGUGACUCCACAUGGGAAUCAUCUUCUCUAUCAGCAAGAAUUAGGUUCAGCUGCAAAUAACAGGAAACACUAUAAUAAUAAUAAUGACUUAAACCAAUGUUUCUCAAACCAUUAUGUGCACAUGAAACACCCGUGGAUCUUGUUAAAACGCAGAUUCUGAUUCAGAAGGUCUGAGGCAGGCCCUGAGGCUCAGCAUUUCUAACAAGCUCCUGAUGGAUGUCCAUGUUGCUGGUCCACAAAGCACAGUGAAGAGUGAGGGCUUCAAUAAGACAAAGGUUUAUUGCUCACUUAGGCACAGAAAACCUGGGGAUGACCCUCUGGGCUAUAUGGGAUCCCUAGAAGCAUCAGAAACUCCAGUUCUGAUCUUUCUGCUCCUCCAUCUUCAGCACGUGGCUUCCAUCCUUAAGAUUUCCUUGCUAUCCAAGACAGAUCCUAGAGAUCCAGGCCACCCAUCUGCUCUCCAAGCCAGCAGCAAGAGGAAGCGGGAGAGGGAAAAAAUAGUGUUUCUACCAGCCGAGCCAACUCCUCUGAAAGAUUUUUCUUGCAGGCCCAUACAUUCUGCUUUGUCUCUUACUCACCCCCAAGCUGCAGAGAGGCUAAAAAUUGUGUUUCUUUUCCUAAGAAGGGAGGGGAGAAUGGGUGACUGGUGGGCAGUUAGGGUCCCUGCUCCUCUCUCCAUCCUGCUCACCAUUUUGAAACCGUAAGACAGAGGAGCAUGACCUCGGCAGCUGCUCUUCUCCAGUGGUUAUUCUGAGGAAGAAGCUAGACUCCACUGUGCACUGUCUGGGUGACCUCUGAGCCAUGGUUAGGAGCCAGAGUGAGAAUAAAUGAAAAGACACUGACAGAGGACGAGAGGGAGGAUGACUCGAGCAGAGUGGUCUGGAACCUUCUGCCAGAACCAGGCAGAAAAGUAGAAAGACCAUGGACAGACCCUGUGCCCCACUUUUGAAAACUGGCUUCGGUCUUGCUUCUGAGACUUAAGAGCUGCCUUUUACUCCAAGAGGUGCGCCUUUUCCUCUGGGCCUGACAGCCUCUGUUGGUCCUUCUGGAACAGAAGUCCUCUCUGCAAUGUUCUAGCUGGACUCUUCCCAGCCCCCUCCCCUCUCAGAGAUGGGGUGCUGCCUAUGCGUGCUCCAGCUGAAGCCUGGGACCUCACUUUUGACUCAUGCCACUGGCACCUGGGCUCACCCACUCCUGGGUCCCUUCUCUUGCUUUGAAUAGAACCUCCUCAGUGUUAAAACCUGCCAGAAUCACCAGUAGUGGCUGCUCCCAGUUCCUUGAUGCUUUUAAGUACUUUUCUUCUAUGCCGAAUGUCCACUUUAAUUGAAACUGCCUGGCCUACAGCCCCCCCCUCAACCUAGGGAGAGCAGUUCCAGGAAGACUUUUGGGCAGGAGUGACCACCGAGGAGAACAGGAGUGGACAUGCUACCAUAGACUGCGAGUGGCUUAUGACAUGGCCCAAUGCAAAGGAAACUGAUGAAACCAAGGUGGUGGCAUUAACUAAACCAAUCAGGGUCCCUCAGUGCGAAAUUUGACUUAAAGUUACGGCGAACAUUUACUUGUUAAUAGCAGUAAGAAAGAGGCAGACAUGUGGCUGCCACUGAGGCAGAUUAAUGAUGGCACAAACUCCAGUUGCUGAUGUCCCCAGCUCCUGGUGCCCUUGGGCCUGCAUUUCUAGAUAUCCAACCUGAUGGUUUUUCAUCCCGCUUGCCAUCUAGGAACUCUACAGGUUUUCAGAUAAGCACAGAUACAUCCUUUUCUGUUCAUCUAGUAAAAAUGAUUUGUGACAUCUCGUGAUAUAUGGUUAAUGCAGCAAGUUUCUUGUUUUGAUGCCUGCCCUGCAUUGUAGAAGACUUCUUGGCUGAAACUGCCCUUCACACGGCCCCCUACUCAGAGAAGCAGUGCUAAACUGAUUGGGUCAAGACUGGGCAUCGACCCAAAGGAGCCCAACCAUAGGCUUUCUAGUUGAGACAGCUAGUUUGAAGGUAAUAAUGGUUUCCUAAAUGUAGCAGUGGUUCAGCUUCCAUGAUCAAACCUCAAUAACAUGGCUAAAACAAAUAGAUGCUUACUUUUUUCUCAUGUGAAAGUCUAAGCUUAGUAUGGCAGCUCUGUUCUGCAAAGGUAUCACAGGCCCGGGCUCUUUCUAUCUUGUUGCUCUGCCAACUGCAAUAUUGUCCUCAUCUGUGCUGUCCAAGAUGGCACACAGCAUAUCCACAUUCCAGUAAAUGGGAAAGGAGAAAGGACCCAGGAGGACCAGCUGCUCACCUUUAAAAGCACAACCUGGAAGUCACACAGAUAACUUUCACUCAUAACUCAUUGGCCAAAACGUGAGCAGAUGGCCACUGUCAGGUGCAAGGAAGGCUGGGAAACGUUAGUCCUAUUCUGGGCAGCUGUGUGCCUGGCUAAAAAUCCAGGCUUAUAUUAUUUUGAGAGAGAAUGAAUAUUAGGGGAAGUCUCUAGUGUCUACUGGUCAGACCAGCUCCCUCUGGAAUCUGGGGCUGGGGAAACCAGAGAUGGUUGUCUUGUUGAGAAUGAGAGGAGAUGGGGGUUGAUGCACAGAAAGAAUCACAGCCAUGAAGCCCAUGGGAGAAGCAGAGAGCGUGGAUAGGCCCCAAACUGCCUGUGACUCCAAACACCACUCCUGCUCCUGCUCUCACAGAUGGGUGUCCUGUCUUCAGAAAGCCUCUGUUCUUGAAGGGCCUGAGGCACUCGGAAGUCUUUGCUGCACACCCAGGACAUUCAGACCUGUUGGAGGUGCGGUCCAAGCAAUUUAAUAGUGGUUCCAUUCUACAGACAAGAAAACUAAACCCUAUGUGCUUCAUCGUCUGUCCUCAGGCCCCCUGGCCCUAAUCAAUCAAAGAAGAAAAGAUGCAUUAGAAUCUGUUGCUUUCAGCCUCUUGGUUAGUGAGACGGAAGCAAACCAUCGAUACGCACUGCUAUCUGGCUUCCUCUGUGGAAAGUGCAGAUAGAGAUCUCAAGGGUCCUGUUUGCUGAGACCACACUCUCAGGCACCUCUCAAUUCGGAUCAGCCACAUUUCCUGUGCUAGACAGCUAGAGCUGUGUACCUGACCUGUGAAGAGAGAAGAGAAUCAAGGCUUUCAGGGGAGAAGACUUCCCCCUGGUGGACAAAAGUGGAAAGUACAUGGGAGACUGAAGCAACUGGCUGAGCCCCGACCGGACAGGGAAGGUCUCUCUUUGACAUCACCUCCUCUGGGAAGCCUUCAUUGCCUCUCCAUGGCUGGUGUGCCCAGAGCCUGUCCCUCACAUCACACUUAUCACACUGCAUCCUAACUACCCAUUUCCACAUCCGUGAACCUGUGAGCAUCUUGAGGGUAAGGAACAUGAUUUAUUCCUUUUUGAAUGCCAGGACUGGCUAUGAAAAUAAGUGUUCAUGGCAUGAUUAUGUCAAUGGUGUGGCUGAAUACGUUUCAUUCUUGUCCUUCAUUC